Molecule: long non-coding RNA, 899 nt
Filed under: Homo sapiens (human)
Lineage: Eukaryota; Metazoa; Chordata; Mammalia; Primates; Hominidae
Description: HSALNT0398336
Source: RNAcentral
AGUCCUUCCUGAAGUCUGCCCUGCGUGGGGCCUGCUGCCAGAAGCCUGGGCCGGAGGGGAGGGGCGAGGACGAAGUAGCGAACCGUCCGCUGGCUGUCUUAGAAGGAUGAAAAGUGAAUUCUGAGCCUGGCUGUGGGAGUAAGAGAGAGGGCAUCGGGGAAGGGAGAGGGGGGCGGGAGAGACAGAGACAAGAGGUGGGAGAGACGACAGGAAGAAGAGACAAAGGUGGGGAGACUGAGGCAGAGGAGGGAGAGAGAGAGAGACAGAAUCCAGGAGGGACAGCUGAGAGAGUCAGAUGGAGCGACAGAGACAGAGAUGGGGGAGACAGAGACACGGAGAGACAGAGAUGAUGGAGACAGAGACUGGGAGAGACAGAGAUGAUGGAGACAGAGACUGGGAGAGACAGAGAUGAUGGAGACAGAGACAGGGAGAGACAGAGAUGAUGGAGACAGAGACUGGGAGAGACAGAGAUGAUGGAGACAGAGACAGGGAGAGACAGAGAUGAUAGAGACAGAUGGCAGAGACAGAGGUAGCGGAGAGAGACUAGGAGAGACAGAGGUGGCGGAGACAGAGACGGGGAGAGACAGCAGUGGUGGAGACUGAUGGGAGAGACAGAUGGAAGAAACAGAGAGGGGAUAUGAGAGACAGAGACAAAGGCAGAGAGAUCUACAGGGAGACAGAGACAGGAGAGAUAAACAUGGGAAAGAGAGAGACAGAGAGACCCAGCGAGUGGCAGAGAUAGGGGAGUCAGGAGCGACGCAAGGGUGUGGGAGAUGGAGUCAAAGUAGGGGGUCAGAGGUGCCGAGCUGGAGGUGAGGGAGACGGGGCGAGGGGGCCGGGGAGGGGCGCUCGGGGCGGGCCUGCGAAAUCGGGGCGGGGAGGGGCGGGGCGGGCCCCGG